Molecule: ribosomal RNA, 447 nt
Filed under: uncultured bacterium
Lineage: Bacteria
Description: SSU rRNA
Rfam family: Bacterial small subunit ribosomal RNA
Source: RNAcentral
AGAGCGAACGCUGGCGGCAGGCUUAACACAUGCAAGUCGAGCGGGCGUAGCAAUACGUCAGCGGCAGACGGGUGAGUAACGCGUGGGAACAUACCUUUUGGUUCGGAACAACCCAGGGAAACUUGGGCUAAUACCGGAUAAGCCCUUACGGGGAAAGAUUUAUCGCCGAAAGAUUGGCCCGCGUCUGAUUAGCUAGUUGGUGAGGUAACGGCUCACCAAGGCGACGAUCAGUAGCUGGUCUGAGAGGAUGAUCAGCCACAUUGGGACUGAGACACGGCCCAAACUCCUACGGGAGGCAGCAGUGGGGAAUAUUGGACAAUGGGCGCAAGCCUGAUCCAGCCAUGCCGCGUGAGUGAUGAAGGCCCUAGGGUUGUAAAGCUCUUUUGUGCGGGAAGAUAAUGACGGUACCGCAAGAAUAAGCCCCGGCUAACUUCGUGCCAGCACCGC